CAGUAGCCGCGGGAACACGGAGGGGGCUAGCGUUGUUCGGAAUUACUGGGCGUAAAGCGCACGUAGGCGGCUUGGUAAGUUAGAGGUGAAAGCCUGGAGCUCAACUCCAGAAUUGCCUUUAAGACUGCCGAGCUAGCAGGUGAGAGAGGUAAGUGGAAUUCCGAGUGUAGAGGUGAAAUUCGUAGAUAUUCGGAAGAACACCAGUGGCGAAGGCGGCUUACUGGCUCAUACUGGACGCUGAGGUGCGAAAGCGUGGGGAGCAAACAGGAUUAGAUACCCGUGUAGUCCCUGUCUCUUAUAC
Molecule: ribosomal RNA, 301 nt
Filed under: uncultured bacterium
Lineage: Bacteria
Description: partial 16S ribosomal RNA
Rfam family: Bacterial small subunit ribosomal RNA
Source: RNAcentral